CGACCUUUUGAGCACCUUCUUGAAAAUCAAUGAUCAUUCGAUAGCUCGACUUGAGAUGCAUACACGAUUAACGAGCUGUUAGGUAAAGGAAAAGGCAAUAUCUGGGAAUAUUACAUGUAUGCCGCAACCGUUUCGGUGAUAGUGCUAGUCUUUGACGGUCCAAGAGAAUCCAUCUGGACUGUGAACUGACGAUGAAUUAAAUAAAAAUCUGCGGAAUGCUAUUUGCAAUAGUCUUGAAAAAUGGCGUCCGUAAAAUGUGAAUUAAUGAUUUUUGAGCCGUUAUGUUAAUGCUCGAAACAUAUUGCUGAAUCAAUUAUGGCGCAUUUCUCGUGCAUUAAUGGUGUUCUGUAACUGAUAUACCCAGUUAAUCAAAGAAAAUACCGAAUUAAAUAGAAACAUUAUGGGCUCAACAUUA
Molecule: long non-coding RNA, 415 nt
Organism: Dreissena polymorpha
Lineage: Eukaryota; Metazoa; Mollusca; Bivalvia; Myida; Dreissenidae
Exons: 3
Source: RefSeq, a predicted model, not a curated record